Molecule: ribosomal RNA, 468 nt
Filed under: uncultured bacterium
Lineage: Bacteria
Description: partial 16S ribosomal RNA
Rfam family: Bacterial small subunit ribosomal RNA
Source: RNAcentral
GACGAACGCUGGCGGCGUGCUUAACACAUGCAGGUCGAACGGAAAGGCCCUGCUUUUGUGGGGUGCUCGAGUGGCGAACGGGUGAGUAACGCGUGAGUAACCUGCCCUUGACUUUGGGAUAACUUCAGGAAACUGGGGCUAAUACCGGAUAGGAGCUCCUGCUGCAUGGUGGGGGUUGGAAAGUUUCGGCGGUUGGGGAUGGACUCGCGGCUUAUCAGCUUGUUGGUGGGGCAGUGGCUUACCAAGGCUUUGACGGGUAGCCGGCCUGAGAGGGUGACCGGCCACAUUGGGACUGAGAUACGGCCCAGACUCCUACGGGAGGCAGCAGUGGGGAAUAUUGCACAAUGGGCGGAAGCCUGAUGCAGCAACGCCGCGUGCGGGAUGACGGCCUUCGGGUUGUAAACCGCUUUCGCCUGUGACGAAGCGUGAGUGACGGUAAUGGGUAAAGAAGCACCGGCUAACUACGUG